RNAcentral lists this ribosomal RNA (490 nucleotides) under uncultured bacterium. Its description in RNAcentral is "partial 16S ribosomal RNA". It matches the Rfam family "Bacterial small subunit ribosomal RNA", at positions 30 to 507 of the family's 1533-position model. The record is from RNAcentral.
AUUGAACGCUGGCGGCAGGCCUAACACAUGCAAGUCGAACGGUAACAGGGAUCAGCUUGCUGAUUCGCUGACGAGUGGCGGACGGGUGAGUAAUGUCUGGGAAACUGCCUGAUGGAGGGGGAUAACUACUGGAAACGGUAGCUAAUACCGCAUAACGUCGCAAGACCAAAGAGGGGGACCUUCGGGCCUCUUGCCAUCGGAUGUGCCCAGAUGGGAUUAGCUAGUAGGUGGGGUAACGGCUCACCUAGGCGACGAUCCCUAGCUGGUCUGAGAGGAUGACCAGCCACACUGGAACUGAGACACGGUCCAGACUCCUACGGGAGGCAGCAGUGGGGAAUAUUGCACAAUGGGCGCAAGCCUGAUGCAGCCAUGCCGCGUGUAUGAAGAAGGCCUUCGGGUUGUAAAGUACCUUCAGCGGGGAGGAAGGGAGUAAAGUUAAUACCUUUGCUCAUUGACGUUACCCGCAGAAGAAGCACCGGCUAACUCCGUG